RNA transcript from Ananas comosus (pineapple), 1974 nucleotides. It is a transcript of the gene named tRNA dimethylallyltransferase 2, with no coding region annotated. The record is from RefSeq and is a predicted model, not a curated record. Lineage: Eukaryota; Viridiplantae; Streptophyta; Magnoliopsida; Poales; Bromeliaceae. The transcript has 11 exons.
CCCAUUAUUUUUAUUUAUUUAUUUUGUAGAGCGUACCCAGACUCGUCCAGCCGUUCCGCGGCGAAACUAUCCUACGGUGCAGCCAAGACCCCAUGGGGGAAGAGAAGACGACGAUCGCCUUCGACGGCGGCGAAUCGGCAGCGCAGGAGAAGAGGAGGAAGCAGAAGCAGCAGAAGAAGAAGGGGGCUGUGGUGGUGGUGAUGGGGGCGACGGGCGCCGGGAAGUCCCGGCUGGCGAUCGACCUGGCCUCCGUCUUCCCUGGUGUGGAGGUCGUCAACGCCGACUCCAUGCAGGUCUACCACGGCCUCGACGUCGUCACCAACAAGCCUCCUCCCUCCGAUCGCAACGGUGUUCCUCAUCAUCUUUUAGGCAUGAUUGAUGCUUCUAUGGAGUUCACUUCCAGAGAUUUCCGUAAUCUUGCUAUUCCGAUCAUUGAUGACAUAUUAUCACGCAAUGGCCUUCCAGUUAUUGUUGGUGGCACAAAUUACUAUAUCCAGGCUCUUGUGAGUCCAUUCCUUGUCGAUGAUGUGUUAGAAGACUUGCAUGAGUGCUCUGUCGCUGACCUAUCAGAUCUUAAAGAUUUUGAUGUGAGCGGAGGGUAUGAGCGCCUUAAGGAGAUCGAUCCAGUUGCUGCAAACAGGAUCCACCCAAAUGACCAGAGAAAAAUAAAUCGGUACCUCAGCUUACAUGCUAGCUCGGGUGCUCUCCCUAGUAACUUAUACCGAGGAAAGGCUGCAGAGAAGUGGGGUCGAGUGAGCAAUUUCAGAUACAAUUGUUUUUUUAUAUGGCUGGAUGCUUCCCUUCCUGUACUGGAUCGAUAUGUUGACCAAAGAGUUGAUUGCAUGAUUGAUUCUGGUCUGUUGAAUGAAGUGCGUGCUAUUUACAAUCCAUCUGCUGUUUAUACUCGAGGGCUGUUUCAGGCUAUUGGCAUUCGUGAAUUUAACGACUUCUUUCAAAGUUACUUUGCCAACAAAGAUGCUGAUUUGCGUCAUAAACUUGCUGUUUCUGAUGUUUUGAAUUCCAAUGAUGAUAAACUGAAGAAUUUGUUAAAUGAAGCCAUUGGCAAGCUAAAAGCCAACACGCGCAAGCUUGUCCGCCGUCAAAGACGAAGACUUCAUCGGUUGAAAAAAGACUUUGGGUGGGACUUGAAUUAUAUUGACGCAACAAAAGCGUUCUUUUGCGAGGCAGGAGAUAUAUGGCAUACGAAAAUUGUGGGCGAUUGUGUUGAUUUACUUAGAACUUUUUUGUGCGAGAAUGCUAGUUCUUUGGCAUGUAGUGAAGAACUUGGUGAUGUUCAAAGCCAGGUACUGGUUUCAAAGGACUUGUGGACUCAAUAUAUCUGUGAGUUGAAUGCAGCUAUGAAGAUACUUGUUACCAAUGAUAUCAGUGUGAGAAGAAGAAAGCGACGACAGAUCUAGAGGCUAGCUACCAAUGUCAACCAAUUAAAUGCCAAGUUUCCAAGUUCGCACUGCAUUCAGCCAGGUCUGCACGGCUGAGAUGAUUGAUGGUGAUCAACAGCAAUGAGGAGAGCAGUGGCAGUCAAGGUAGGUGCUAGAGGCUAUAAGGCUACGUCAGCUAGAUGGGCUGCGAUGGCAGAGCAAGCAGCGGCAACCAAGGUGAGCAGCAGGGACAUACAAGGUAGCACAAGAAAAGAUGACUGCCGGCUGCUAAUACAUGCGACAACAGCUCCGUAGAGCAAGCAGCAGCAGUCAAGCGAAGCUUGUGGCAACAGUGGUUAUACACAAGGAGCGAAGCUUGUGGCCACACAAGGAUUACAAUGGCAACAAGAGAUUAGGAAAAGGAGUGAUGAUGGUUGGAUGUUCUUCGGGAGGCCCGAUUGGCCUGUGGUAAUCGGAUCUUGCGAGGGGCGCAUGAGUGGGAGCAACACAAACGAGGGAAAGGACAUAGAAAAAGAAUAUCUGGAUUAAAGAAGACGAAGAGUUUAAGUUCCUACAUGGUAGAGCAAAUGCCGCG